This 249-nucleotide unclassified non-coding RNA is filed under the name plant metagenome. RNAcentral describes it as "partial contains small subunit ribosomal RNA and internal transcribed spacer 1". The stretch from base 1 to 46 matches the Rfam family "Eukaryotic small subunit ribosomal RNA", at positions 1786 to 1831 of the family's 1831-position model. The record is from RNAcentral.
AAGUCGUAACAAGGUUUCCGUAGGUGAACCUGCGGAAGGAUCAUUAUUUGAAUUCCCAACUGGGUGAGAUUGGCUGGCUCUCGGGCAUGUGCACAUCUCAUUUCAUUUACUCUACCUCUUGACUUUUUCCACAGGACAGCUGGGUGGUUGUAGGGCUUUCAUUGUCUAUGGCUACGGUUUGCUUUGUGUGCUUUAUAAACUCAUAAUCAAGUUCAGAAUGUCUAUUGUGUAUCCCACAUUUAAAUACAA